GGAGGGAUGGCCGAGUGGACGAAGGCGCUGGUCUCGAAAACCAGUUGAGUCUUAGGGCUCACGUGGGUUCGAAUCCCACUCCCUCCGCCA
This 90-nucleotide transfer RNA is filed under the name Candidatus Dadabacteria bacterium. RNAcentral describes it as "tRNA-Ser". It matches the Rfam family "tRNA". From Rfam's summary of the family: Transfer RNA (tRNA) molecules are approximately 80 nucleotides in length. The record is from RNAcentral. Lineage: Bacteria; Pseudomonadati; Thermodesulfobacteriota; Candidatus Dadabacteria. RNAcentral also lists the same sequence under 1 other name.